RNAcentral lists this long non-coding RNA (1580 nucleotides) under Volvox carteri. RNAcentral's name for it is "long non-coding RNA (VCAR_LNC000686)". Lineage: Eukaryota; Viridiplantae; Chlorophyta; Chlorophyceae; Chlamydomonadales; Volvocaceae. The record is from RNAcentral.
GGCGAGCACGCCAGCGAGCCGCUCAGCGGGCAGGCUCUCAGACGCCUGGAGCGCAAGAUGAAGCUGGUCAAGGAGGGGCAGCAUGACGUGUACCUGUGAUGAUGGGGGAAGCGGACGAUGGAAGACGGGGGAUUAGGGCGGAGAUCGGUUUGACCAGAGAGUGACUUUGGAGUGAGGUGAGGUCUACUGCCGGCCUGCAGUUUUGGCUUUUGGGUCGCAACCACCGGAGUUAUGGAUUGGUGUGGGGAGUGAGCUUUUCUGGUCCGGCGUGGCGGAGUCUUUUCCAUGCUUAUCCGCAAAGAUCUUUUGAGAUUCUAGUUUGGUAGAAUUCUUUAUAAUUUGUUUGGUAAAUGCGUGGGUAAUGCCACAAGCAUUGCAUGUGUUCAUGCUUGACAAGGAAUAAUGAAUCUCGCUGCUGUGUGCACGCGAUGCGGAGCAAUGAAGGAAAAAUGACACUUGUUAGGGAUGUGGAGGAGCUGGCUCUCUGUUUUUAUUUUUUGGGGCAUGUUUUCAGCUGAAAGCUGCUCAACCCCAAAUGGUUGUUUGGGGCUGAGGAAUUGCUCUGCUUAGAAGAGCGUGCAUCUGAACAUUGUACGGUACGGGAAUCGGUGAUGAAAUUGCCUGAAGAUGCACGAAUGAAGGAUUACCAGGUAUUGACCUGAGGAAUAUGUGGCCCAGUUGUUCAGGCGCCUUAAAUCUCAUCUUUAAUGUAAUCCAGAAAGCUGUAAGAAAAAGGGUUCCUAUUCAAGCUGCCGCGUGCCUAUUCAAAUGUAUAUGAGUCUUACCUUCCGUCUGGUGGCCUACGAGCUUAAGCAUGUGAUAUAAUGUAUUGGCCAUAGCAGACCCGACGCGACAUGCUGUAGCUGUAAGGACGCCGCACGCUAUCAUCCUGCUGUGAAAGCAACCGCAUUACGCAGGGCACUCACAUAAAUUGGUGCGGCUUUAAAGCCGCACAAAAUUUUUUGUUAGGUGAGUCGAAACUGGUGUUGCAGCUGCCCGUGGAAGACCUGGCCCAGAACUGCACUUUUCAGACUGGAUGCAGGCCGCCCACAUGAACAUAGCAGACCCAGACUGCGCUUGCUUCGUAACAAAGAAAUCCACGUCUUAGGAGUUUAUUUAGAGAACUUUGCGGCCUGACUGAAAAACUGAAACCACGGUCGACACCUUUCCGGGCCAGAAACCUACGGAAUGAAAUCCUUUUGGAAUGGACACCACAGACGAAUUCCUUCCCUAAGUUUCCUUUAUGGUGUCGCGGUUGCUUACCUUCUCACGUGUGCCUGCAGUAGUGGUUAUCGUCCUGUGCUUAUUUUGGCUGCGUUGCUCUGAGUACUGUAUCGCUUGAUGAACAGCUUGCCAGAUGCCGCUUCCAUCAACUUUUACAUCUGUCGCAUAGAGACGACUUUGGAACUGCAAGUCGGUUGCCACCACAGGCGCGUGACAAAUGCGGAUUAACUUGGAAAUAGCAUGUCUAACGUAAUUGGAUUACCUUCUUCUGCGGCCUCCCGUCACAUGUCAGGGAGAUGUUGCGCCGAAACCCUUUUCGGCGGAACACCAUUGUCCUCUGUACCUCGGGAUGUACA